This 594-nucleotide ribosomal RNA is filed under the name Triticum aestivum (bread wheat). Its description in RNAcentral is "partial small subunit ribosomal RNA". Lineage: Eukaryota; Viridiplantae; Streptophyta; Magnoliopsida; Poales; Poaceae. The record is from RNAcentral.
AUGCUAGCGGUCAUGAUUGAGCGUGCUAAGGUUGAUGGCCAAAUUGAUGGGGUGGUGAAUCAUCUAGUUGAUGGUGGUCUCUCCAUCCUUCAAUAUGAUGACGAUAAAAUUCUCUUUAUGGAUCAUGACCUCGAGAAAGCAAGAAAUCUGAAAUUAAUUUUAUCAGCAUUCGAGCAACUCUCAGGGCUUAAGAUCAAUUUCCAUAAAAGUGAAUUGUUUUGUUUUGGCGAGGCUCAAGACGAGGCUCAUCUGUAUGCUGACCUAUUCGGAUGCGGGUUGGCCCAGUUUCCGAUCACUUAUUUGGGGAUACCGAUACAUUAUCGGAGACUCACAAAUGCUGAAUGGAAAUACGUCGAGGAGAGACUACAAAAAAGGCUUAGCAGUUGGAAAGGUAAACUGCUAUCUCUGGAUGGAAGGUUGGUCCUCAUAAAUUCAGUAGUAAGUAAUAUGGUACUAUAUAUGAUUUCCUUCUUCCAGUUGCUAAAAGGAGUAUUACAUAGAUUGGAUUACUUCCGAUCGAGAUUCUUUUGGCAAGGAGAUAGCGAGAGAAAAAAAUAUCGACUGGCUAAAUGGAGUGUGGUUUGCCGUCCAAAG